RNAcentral lists this non-coding RNA (51 nucleotides) under Schistosoma mansoni. The record is from RNAcentral. Lineage: Eukaryota; Metazoa; Platyhelminthes; Trematoda; Strigeidida; Schistosomatidae.
AUCCAGCUAACGAGUCCUAAAUAGAACAACGAAACGCGCGUCAAACUGGAU